This 65-nucleotide transfer RNA is filed under the name Auriculastra duplicata. RNAcentral's name for it is "tRNA-Asn". The record is from RNAcentral. Lineage: Eukaryota; Metazoa; Mollusca; Gastropoda; Ellobiida; Ellobiidae.
GUAGUUGAAGCUGAAGUUUUCAGCACCUAACUGUUAAUUAGGAGGUUGCCUUAUGGCCGUCUACG